Molecule: ribosomal RNA, 2926 nt
Filed under: Escherichia coli
Lineage: Bacteria; Pseudomonadati; Pseudomonadota; Gammaproteobacteria; Enterobacterales; Enterobacteriaceae
Description: bacterial LSU rRNA
Rfam family: Bacterial large subunit ribosomal RNA
Source: RNAcentral
GGGUUGUGAGGUUAAGCGACUAAGCGUACACGGUGGAUGCCCUGGCAGUCAGAGGCGAUGAAGGACGUGCUAAUCUGCGAUAAGCGUCGGUGAGGUGAUAUGAACCGUUAUAACCGGCGAUUUCCGAAUGGGGAAACCCAGUGUGUUUCGACACACUAUCAUUAACUGAAUCCAUAGGUUAAUGAGGCGAACCGGGGGAACUGAAACAUCUAAGUACCCCGAGGAAAAGAAAUCAACCGAGAUUCCCCCAGUAGCGGCGAGCGAACGGGGAGGAGCCCAGAGCCUGAAUCAGUGUGUGUGUUAGUGGAAGCGUCUGGAAAGGCGCGCGAUACAGGGUGACAGCCCCGUACACAAAAAUGCACAUACUGUGAGCUCGAUGAGUAGGGCGGGACACGUGGUAUCCUGUCUGAAUAUGGGGGGACCAUCCUCCAAGGCUAAAUACUCCUGACUGACCGAUAGUGAACCAGUACCGUGAGGGAAAGGCGAAAAGAACCCCGGCGAGGGGAGUGAAAAAGAACCUGAAACCGUGUACGUACAAGCAGUGGGAGCCUCUUAAUGGGGUGACUGCGUACCUUUUGUAUAAUGGGUCAGCGACUUAUAUUCUGUAGCAAGGUUAACCGAAUAGGGGAGCCGAAGGGAAACCGAGUCUUAACUGGGCGUUAAGUUGCAGGGUAUAGACCCGAAACCCGGUGAUCUAGCCAUGGGCAGGUUGAAGGUUGGGUAACACUAACUGGAGGACCGAACCGACUAAUGUUGAAAAAUUAGCGGAUGACUUGUGGCUGGGGGUGAAAGGCCAAUCAAACCGGGAGAUAGCUGGUUCUCCCCGAAAGCUAUUUAGGUAGCGCCUCGUGAAUUCAUCUCCGGGGGUAGAGCACUGUUUCGGCAAGGGGGUCAUCCCGACUUACCAACCCGAUGCAAACUGCGAAUACCGGAGAAUGUUAUCACGGGAGACACACGGCGGGUGCUAACGUCCGUCGUGAAGAGGGAAACAACCCAGACCGCCAGCUAAGGUCCCAAAGUCAUGGUUAAGUGGGAAACGAUGUGGGAAGGCCCAGACAGCCAGGAUGUUGGCUUAGAAGCAGCCAUCAUUUAAAGAAAGCGUAAUAGCUCACUGGUCGAGUCGGCCUGCGCGGAAGAUGUAACGGGGCUAAACCAUGCACCGAAGCUGCGGCAGCGACGCUUAUGCGUUGUUGGGUAGGGGAGCGUUCUGUAAGCCUGUGAAGGUGGCCUGUGAGGGUUGCUGGAGGUAUCAGAAGUGCGAAUGCUGACAUAAGUAACGAUAAAGCGGGUGAAAAGCCCGCUCGCCGGAAGACCAAGGGUUCCUGUCCAACGUUAAUCGGGGCAGGGUGAGUCGACCCCUAAGGCGAGGCCGAAAGGCGUAGUCGAUGGGAAACAGGUUAAUAUUCCUGUACUUGGUGUUACUGCGAAGGGGGGACGGAGAAGGCUAUGUUGGCCGGGCGACGGUUGUCCCGGUUUAAGCGUGUAGGCUGGUUUUCCAGGCAAAUCCGGAAAAUCAAGGCUGAGGCGUGAUGACGAGGCACUACGGUGCUGAAGCGACAAAUGCCCUGCUUCCAGGAAAAGCCUCUAAGCAUCAGGUAACAUUAAAUCGUACCCCAAACCGACACAGGUGGUCAGGUAGAGAAUACCAAGGCGCUUGAGAGAACUCGGGUGAAGGAACUAGGCAAAAUGGUGCCGUAACUUCGGGAGAAGGCACGCUGAUAUGUAGGUGAAGCGACUUGCUCGUGGAGCUGAAAUCAGUCGAAGAUACCAGCUGGCUGCAACUGUUUAUUAAAAACACAGCACUGUGCAAACACGAAAGUGGACGUAUACGGUGUGACGCCUGCCCGGUGCCGGAAGGUUAAUUGAUGGGGUUAGCGGUAACGCGAAGCUCUUGAUCGAAGCCCCGGUAAACGGCGGCCGUAACUAUAACGGUCCUAAGGUAGCGAAAUUCCUUGUCGGGUAAGUUCCGACCUGCACGAAUGGCGUAAUGAUGGCCAGGCUGUCUCCACCCGAGACUCAGUGAAAUUGAACUCGCUGUGAAGAUGCAGUGUACCCGCGGCAAGACGGAAAGACCCCGUGAACCUUUACUAUAGCUUGACACUGAACAUUGAGCCUUGAUGUGUAGGAUAGGUGGGAGGCUUUGAAGUGUGGACGCCAGUCUGCAUGGAGCCGACCUUGAAAUACCACCCUUUAAUGUUUGAUGUUCUAACGUGGGCCCCUUACCGGGGUUGCGGACAGUGUCUGGUGGGUAGUUUGACUGGGGCGGUCUCCUCCUAAAGAGUAACGGAGGAGCACGAAGGUUGGCUAAUCCUGGUCGGACAUCAGGAGGUUAGUGCAAUGGCAUAAGCCAGCUUGACUGCGAGCGUGACGGCGCGAGCAGGUGCGAAAGCAGGUCAUAGUGAUCCGGUGGUUCUGAAUGGAAGGGCCAUCGCUCAACGGAUAAAAGGUACUCCGGGGAUAACAGGCUGAUACCGCCCAAGAGUUCAUAUCGACGGCGGUGUUUGGCACCUCGAUGUCGGCUCAUCACAUCCUGGGGCUGAAGUAGGUCCCAAGGGUAUGGCUGUUCGCCAUUUAAAGUGGUACGCGAGCUGGGUUUAGAACGUCGUGAGACAGUUCGGUCCCUAUCUGCCGUGGGCGCUGGAGAACUGAGGGGGGCUGCUCCUAGUACGAGAGGACCGGAGUGGACGCAUCACUGGUGUUCGGGUUGUCAUGCCAAUGGCACUGCCCGGUAGCUAAAUGCGGAAGAGAUAAGUGCUGAAAGCAUCUAAGCACGAAACUUGCCCCGAGAUGAGUUCUCCCUGAGACUUAGAGUCUCCUGAAGGAACGUUGAAGACGACGACGUUGAUAGGCCGGGUGUGUAAGCGCAGCGAUGCGUUGAGCUAACCGGUACUAAUGAACCGUGAGGCUUAACCUUACAACGCCGAAG